UUAAGAUAUUUGAUGAAAACACUAGUGACUUUCAUCAAGUUUCACCGGGUUAUCCAAAUGGCAUCUUGUGAUCAAAUAGGUGAUUAUCAUUGGCUGAAUUACUCAUGAAUUAUUAAUGAAUUUGAGAAGUAAUAUAUGAACAACGAGAGAGAGUGUUUCACCGGGAUAUCCAAACACGAGAAAACAAUGUAUGAAAACACGAGCGCGAGUGUUUUCAUACAUUGUUUUCGAGUGUUUGGAUAUCCCGGUGAGACACGAGCUCGAGUUGUUUAUAUGGCUUCUCAAAUGAAUCGAGACGUAACAUAAUGUUUUCGUUUGCUG
Molecule: non-coding RNA, 321 nt
Organism: Paramuricea clavata
Lineage: Eukaryota; Metazoa; Cnidaria; Anthozoa; Malacalcyonacea; Plexauridae
Source: the annotation of a GenBank genome assembly